GGUUAUUUAGUUUGUUAAAAAUGUAGGUUUUGUAGUCCUAAGAUAAUUUCUAAUUAUUAACCU
This 63-nucleotide transfer RNA is filed under the name Proteocephalus macrocephalus. RNAcentral describes it as "tRNA-Thr". The record is from RNAcentral. Lineage: Eukaryota; Metazoa; Platyhelminthes; Cestoda; Proteocephalidea; Proteocephalidae.